AAAAAAAAGAGUUUGAUCAUGGCUCAGAAUCAACGCUGGCGGCGUGCCUAACACAUGCAAGUCGAACGCGGUUACCUCGCAAGGGGUAACUGAGUGGCGAACGGGUGAGUAACGCGUGGGUGACCUACCUUCGAGCGGGGGAUAACGUCCCGAAAGGGACGCUAAUACCGCAUAACAUCCUGCCUUUGAACAGGUGGACAUCAAAGCCGGGGAUCGCAAGACCUGGCGCUUGGAGAGGGGCCUGCGGCCGAUUAGCUAGUUGGUAGGGUAAUGGCCUACCAAGGCAACGAUCGGUAUCCGGCCUGAGAGGGCGGACGGACACACUGGGACUGAGACACGGCCCAGACUCCUACGGGAGGCAGCAGUGGGGAAUUGUUCGCAAUGGGCGCAAGCCUGACGACGCAACGCCGCGUGGAGGAUGAAGAUCUUCGGGUCGUAAACUCCUUUCGAUCGGGAAGAACGUUUUCGGGGUGAAUAAUCCCGAGAAGUGACGGUACCGAGAGAAGAAGCCCCGGCUAACUCUGUGCCAGCAGCCGCCGUAAU
This 543-nucleotide ribosomal RNA is filed under the name uncultured Acidobacteriota bacterium. RNAcentral's name for it is "bacterial SSU rRNA". It matches the Rfam family "Bacterial small subunit ribosomal RNA", at positions 1 to 524 of the family's 1533-position model. Lineage: Bacteria; Pseudomonadati; Acidobacteriota. The record is from RNAcentral.